AAGAUUUGUAAUCAAGGAAACAUUUACAGACCGUGAAUUUGUUAUCAUUAUUUUAUCACAAGCUGGAUCAACUGGUAGUAGAGGAAACUACAUCACUUAUCUAAAAGGGAUAAAGUGGUUCUAUUUCUUGAUCAUCGCAAAUUGAUCUGUGCCUUGGGAGAUAGUUUUAUCUCACUCUUACGGAAUUGUAGAUAUCUAUGUAUUUCCCUGCUGUAUUAUUCCAGCUAUUGUCAAUACGCAUAACUUUCUGCACGACAGCUUUCCAUUCAUUUGGUUUUUCUUGAUAAUAAGAAAAUGCACGGCCUAGUGCACAGUUUAAGGAUCCUUCAUCAAUU
This 335-nucleotide unclassified non-coding RNA is filed under the name Hevea brasiliensis (rubber tree). Lineage: Eukaryota; Viridiplantae; Streptophyta; Magnoliopsida; Malpighiales; Euphorbiaceae. The record is from RNAcentral.